AACGCACCUUGCGCCCUUUGGUAUUCCGAAGGGCAUGCCUGUUUGAGUGUCAUUAAAUUCUCAAACCUCUUAGUGUUUAUUCAUUUCGAGGCUUUGGAUUGUGAGGGGUUUUUGCUGGCUUCCUUCAGUGGAUGGUCUGCUCCCUUUAAAAGUAUUAGUGGGAUCCAGUACCACCUUGGUUGUGAUAAUUAUCUACGAUCGAGCUCUGGUAUGGGUUUAGGAACCUGCUUAUAACCGUCUUUUUUGCGAGACAACUUUUUUUUAUUGACUUGACCUCAAAUCAGGUAGGACUACCCGCUGAACUUAA
RNAcentral lists this unclassified non-coding RNA (307 nucleotides) under uncultured fungus. RNAcentral's name for it is "sequence contains ITS2". The stretch from base 1 to 52 matches the Rfam family "5.8S ribosomal RNA", at positions 103 to 154 of the family's 154-position model. The record is from RNAcentral. Lineage: Eukaryota; Fungi.